GACUAACGCUGGCGGCGUGCCUAACACAUGCAAGUCGAGCGGACACCAGUCCGUAGCAAUACGGAUGACGUGUCAGCGGCAGACGGGUGAGUAACACGUAGUCAACCUAUCUUUCCGUCCGGGAUAACUAGUCGAAAGAUUAGCUAAUACCUGAUGCGAUCGUCGAGUGGCAUCAUUUGACGAUGAAAGCAGCAAUGCGCGGAUUGAAGGGGCUGCGGCCCAUUAGCUAGUUGGUUGAGGUAACGGCUCACCAAGGCAACGAUGGGUAGCUGGUCUG
Molecule: ribosomal RNA, 277 nt
Filed under: uncultured bacterium
Lineage: Bacteria
Description: partial 16S ribosomal RNA
Rfam family: Bacterial small subunit ribosomal RNA
Source: RNAcentral